ACGGAGGGUGCGAGCGUUAAUCGGAAUUACUGGGCGUAAAGCGCGCGCAGGUGGUUCGUUAAGUCAGGUGUGAAAUCCCCGGGCUUAACCUCGGAAUUGCACUUGAGACUGGCGGACUGGAGUGCUGCAGAGGGGGGUGGAAUUUCAGGUGUAGCAGUGAAAUGCGUAGAGAUGUGAAGGAACACCGAUGGCGAAGGCAGCCCCCUGGACCGAUACUGACGCUCA
This 225-nucleotide ribosomal RNA is filed under the name uncultured prokaryote. RNAcentral describes it as "partial 16S ribosomal RNA". It matches the Rfam family "Bacterial small subunit ribosomal RNA", at positions 525 to 749 of the family's 1533-position model. The record is from RNAcentral.